Molecule: long non-coding RNA, 2634 nt
Filed under: Strigops habroptila (Kakapo)
Lineage: Eukaryota; Metazoa; Chordata; Aves; Psittaciformes; Psittacidae
Description: lncRNA (ENSSHBG00005001293.1)
Source: RNAcentral
UCAUAUUUCAGGGAUCUGGCUUUUAUUGUUACUCUAUCUCAGCAUAGUAUACUACAUCAAUUAAAAAAAAAAGACAUUAAAUGAUUUUGUGUUUAUAUUUAUUGUCAGCAAUACAUCAGUUAUGUAAAAAUAACCCAGAUGAAAAUGUAAUACUUGUUACAUUUUCACAUAAUCUGUAUUAACUGAAUAAAGCUUAGUGACAAUAUACACAAAUUUGCAGUAGUUGUACGUAAACAUUUUGUGCAUUAAAAAAGAAAUAUACAUAAUUUAAAAAAUAAAAAUGCAUUACACAAUUUACAAAUUAACAUUAACAAAAAAAGGUAAACAUUCCUCAGACAGCUGCCUCCUUGUUCUACAAAAUAAAUAUUCAAGUAAAUUAAGUUAGGCAAAAUAAACUCUUAACUUUGGGUGAGCACAAUUUACAUAAAGGUAAAGAGACAGAUUUCCAUUUCAUUCAAAGUAUAUUUUACAGUGAUUAUACAUAGUUUGUUUUUAAAUUGGUCUCUUCAGAUUGUAAUAUUAGAAAACAAACUUUAUUACAUUUUCGCAGGAGGAAGGGAGUUUCAAAAUUGAUGCUUUAUUACCAAACAUAAACAAGCUUGUGCAGUUGCAUCAAAGCUUCAAAGAGGAUCUGCUCCAGGACUCAAAGCAGACACAGUAAUCUAGAAACUACAGAUUUAAAAAGGAAAAUACAAACCACCACAUCCACAGGAAAAUGUCUACUUUGCUAUUUUCUGAAUGGUUUAUUUGAUCAGUGGAAACAUUACUUUCACAAACUAACAAUCUACGGUAGUGGCUGCUUUAGGCACUGGAUUUGUAGAAGCACUCUGAUUUUUAAACCAAAUUGCUUUUAAUUCUAUACUGAUAAUUCACCUGAUCAUACCGAUAAUUCCAUUUUUUAUUUCUGUUUCAAUGCUAAAGGGCUUAAUCACCUUUGCAAUGUUUAGCUUUAUAUAAAAUUUCAGCCCUCCUUAUAGUCUAAUAUUUUUUUCUUGAUAACAAGGGACCAUUCUGGCUUCAAAUUUUUGUGCACUUUCUUAGUGAAAAAAGAUAAUAAAAAUGCACUCUUGAAUUAAAAUGCAGCACUAGUAUGAUGCAGUUGCGCAUCAGCAAAAUUCACUGAUCAGAUAUAAAGUAUAACACAUAUUAAAUACUUGCAUGGAUUGCAAAGGCCAAACAUACUUAAAAACCCCUCCCAUCUUUUUCUUUGUUUGUCCAUUUUAUAUAGUGAGAAAAAGGAGAUGUCAUACCUUUAACUUCAAGUUAUUAAAUUCUUAGAUUUAGGAAGUAAAAAUCUUCAAAGCAAGACCUACGCAACAGCUCCUGCUAAGACCAGCUAGUAUAAUAAAUAAAGAUGACUCCUUGCCAAUGAAAGAAACCCUGUUCCCUCAAUUCCCUAUUGGUCCAAUACUAUUUGACAACACAGAAUCAGACUUUUGAAAAUACACAAAUCAUGAUUAAGCUUUAUGUCUCCACAUGAUAGUUAUCAUUCUUUGAAAUUUUGUAACUUUUCCACAUCAUUUUUUGUAUGUAUGUCUGACAAAACAGGAAUCAACUUGGCUUUUUCUUGUUUUCUACUAAAGAAUACUGAAGUAAUUAAAAUCACCAAGACUUCUUGGUUUUGUUUUUUUUGUUUUUUGGGGUUUUUUUUAACUAUACUUCACAAAGCAAUGUAAGAAAGACUGAAUUCCCCAGUCAUGCAACACAUAUAUGAAUGAACCACUGCUGUGGCAGGGGGCCAUGGCACGUCAUUAGCUGCAGCCAGAUCAAGGUAGAAAAUGGGAAAUUAAACCUGUACAAAAGAUUGUUACUGUUGUUCCACUCUGCUUAUCAUUCCCAUUUGGGGAAUACUUGUGCAGUGGGAGGAAGGUAAUUUUCUUGAUGCAUGGUAAUAUAAGUAAGUUAGCUAAGUUGUAGUAGGACCAUAACCAUAAUCUCUCUUAAACUUUCACAAAAUACACAUUGGUUCCAAGAAUUAUUCUACAUGGAACAAAGGUAGGUAUUUUUAAGGACUGAUGUUACCGAUCAAUGUCCAUAAGAGUCAUGUCAUCAGUUUCAGUGGAUCUGGGCCAAAGUUUGCAAAAAUACAGUUUUAUUCAGUGUGCAAAACCUGGUGCUUCUUGAGUAAAUAGCGUGAUGAGUAGGCAGAAAUGGUUUAGGUUAUAAAAAAGACCUGAGAACCUAAUAUUGAAUUUUAUAUAACAAUUAUUUUUGAGAGGUUGCCUGAUAAAGUUUUGUAUUGCUUAGUAGUGGCACAGUCUCUUGUACGUUCAGGCUACACAUAGAAGCCAUUUGAUGAGAAUAACCCUUCUCAGGUCACAAAUCACAUAUAUAACAGGCAGGUCGGUACAGUGGCAAGUCAAUGAGCUUCAUGUUGGAAGCGUAACACUGAAAAGCCAUGAGCACAGAAAAGGUUAACAGUGAGUUUUCAUACUGCUAGAGGUUUUAAAAAAGUCAUGAGUAUUAAAAUGGCAGAACUAUUGAUCUUAUUGUUUACUUGCCAGUAUACUCAAGAGUUUAACUGACUAAUUAAAAGUCUAUCCAAUUAUCCUGAUUAGAAAAGACAAAAGGGUUCUGAGUAUUGCACUGUCAGCAACAGUGAAAACGCUCUCACUAGUGGAAAGAAAAAAAAAA